RNAcentral lists this unclassified non-coding RNA (378 nucleotides) under uncultured Actinomycetes bacterium. RNAcentral describes it as "uncultured actinobacterium contains 16S-23S intergenic spacer region". Lineage: Bacteria; Bacillati; Actinomycetota; Actinomycetes. The record is from RNAcentral.
UCCGGUUUGUCACCGGCAGUCUCCUAUGAGUCCCCAACUGAAUGAUGGCAACAUAGGACGGGGGUUGCGCUCGUUGCGGGACUUAAGCCAACACCUCACGACACGAGCUGACGACAACCAUGCACCACCUGUGAACCGGCCCCAAAGGGGAAGGACUGUUUCCAGCCCGGUCCGGCCCAUGUCAAGCCUUGGUAAGGUUCUUCGCGUUGCAUCGAAUUAAUCCGCAUGCUCCGCCGCUUGUGCGGGCCCCCGUCAAUUCCUUUGAGUUUUAGCCUUGCGGCCGUACUCCCCAGGCGGGGCACUUAAUGCGUUAGCUACGGCGCGGAGAACGUGGAAUGUUCCCCACACCUAGCACCCACCGUUUACGGCGUGGACUAC